ACGCUCGACACCUACGGAGGCAGCAGUGGGGAAUAUUGCACAAUGGGGGAAACCCUGAUGCAGCGACGCCGCGUGAGCGAAGAAGUAUUUCGGUAUGUAAAGCUCUAUCAGCAGGGAAGAAACUGACGGUACCUGACUAAGAAGCACCGGCUAAAUACGUGCCAGCAGUCGCGGUAAUCUGAGCGGGCUGGCAAGGC
RNAcentral lists this ribosomal RNA (197 nucleotides) under uncultured bacterium. Its description in RNAcentral is "partial 16S ribosomal RNA". It matches the Rfam family "Bacterial small subunit ribosomal RNA", at positions 328 to 539 of the family's 1533-position model. The record is from RNAcentral.